Long non-coding RNA from Sus scrofa (pig), 1193 nucleotides. RefSeq lists it as uncharacterized. NCBI's taxonomy places the organism in Eukaryota, Metazoa, Chordata, Mammalia, Artiodactyla, Suidae. The record is from RefSeq and is a predicted model, not a curated record.
GCUUCCGCGUUGGGCUGGUGUGCAGUUUCGGGGUUCCCGAUGCUCCCCCAGCUUGGGCUUGGCGAGGACAGUUGGGGGCCGGCCGGAUCUCCCCUCCGGCUCUCCCUGCACCCCAAAAGAACGGCCCACCAAGCUGGGUGAAGCCCUUUGGGACCCGCAGUUACUUUUAUUGAUUUUCUUGAGACCUGACAGCCAAAAAAAAGGGGCGCGGUGCGCAGUGGAAAGAGGCCAGGCCCUGCAGAAAACGCCAGGCAAACAGACCUCCCGAACAAAGGAGCGCACCCAACUUAGACACCCCCAGACUGCUUUGGAAUUCUUCCUGCCCUUGCAACGUCUGUUUCUUUGAAGGUGCACCUUUGGACCAAAGCCGUUGGUUUCUUCCAAAUCCAUCCGGUGAACCUGCCCCCACCUCCCGUAAACAAAGAAAAAGCCAGGGACUGACCCCAAGUUUCUAGGAGCAGCAGUGAGGUUGACAUAUUUCAGACAAAUCGCAGCAGCCAACUUCCUGUCCGGCCCCUUUUCCACGGAGAAACCCUCCCUCCACCCUUCCCGGGUCCAGGUGAAGAGAUUAAAACUCUACACGAGCCCCUACAUGGAAUGCUCAGCUGGGCGACAUUUUUUAAUAUUGCAUUACACUAUGAAUUUCUCUCUGUCCCCACGGAAACAUACCUCUAGUUCGGUGGAACGUGCCCAGCCCUUCUAUCUUGAACAGAAGAUCACAGUAUUUAAUGCUAAUUUCCUUGGGAUGGUGCUUACAAUACACCAGGUGAGGUUUUCAUAAUAUACUGUUACAAUACAGAUGUUAAACAGAGAAGGGGAAGUGUGCAAAUCCCAAACUGCAAGAGACAGCAGGGUUAUCAUCUUUAUAAAAGUUUCAGCACAAAAUACUAUCCGAACACUGAGGAGGAGCCGCUCAGCAGUUUCCCGCUGCCAGGAAGAGAAAUUCACAUGUUGAGGCGGUCCCCAUCUAGUCGGAAGUAGGAACAAAGAUUCAUUCAGUCCCUCGACAAGAAUGGAUAAACUCGCGACCCUGUGCCAGGCACCGUGCGGCGUGCCCCCGGGCACCUUGUCACCUUUUAUCCUUACAGCCAACACGCUGGGGCAGGGAAGAUGUGAACCCAAGAUUCUGCUGUAUAACACAGGGAACUAUAUCCAACCUCCUGGGAUAGACCAUGAUGGACGAUAAUAUAAAA